AUUGAACGCUGGCGGCAGGCCUAACACAUGCAAGUCGAGCGAGCGGCGGACGGGUGAGUAAUGUAUGGGGACUGCCCGAUAGACGGGGAUAACUACUGGAAACGGUAGCUAAUACCGCAUACUAUCGGAUAACCCAUAUGGGAUUAGCUAGUAGGUGAGGUAAUGGCUCACCUAGGCGACGAUCCCUAGCUGGCCUGAGAGGAUGAUCAGCAACACUGUGACUGAGAAACGGCCAAGACUCCGACGGAGGGAGCAUUGGGGAAGAUUGAACAAUGGGCGCAAGCCUGAUGCAGCCAUGCCUCGGGUAUGAAGAAGGCACUAGGGUUGUAAGGUACUUGCAGUCGGGAGGCGUUGCCGACAGAAGAAGCACCGGCUAACUCCGUGCCAGCAGCCGCGGUAAUUC
RNAcentral lists this ribosomal RNA (403 nucleotides) under uncultured bacterium. RNAcentral's name for it is "partial 16S ribosomal RNA". It matches the Rfam family "Bacterial small subunit ribosomal RNA", at positions 30 to 526 of the family's 1533-position model. The record is from RNAcentral.